This is a non-coding RNA of Brassica rapa (field mustard), 74 nucleotides long. The record is from Rfam. NCBI's taxonomy places the organism in Eukaryota, Viridiplantae, Streptophyta, Magnoliopsida, Brassicales, Brassicaceae.
GUUCUCGUAGCUCAGUUGGUUAGAGCGUUGAUCUUAUGAGCCGAAGGUCGCGUGUUCGAGUCCCGCCGGGAACA